AGCGUAUAUUAAAGUUGUUGCAGUUAAAAAGCUCGUAGUUGGAUUUCUGUUAAUAAUUUAUAUAAAAUAUUUUGAUGAAUAUUUAUAUAAUAUUAACAUAAUUCAUAUUACUAUUUUUUUUUUUAGUAUAUGAAAUUUUACUUUGAGAAAAUUAGAGUGCUUAAAGCAGGCAUAUGCCUUGAAUACUCCAGCAUGGAAUAAUAUUAAAGAUUUUUAUCUUUUUUAUUGGUUCUAAGAUAAGAAUAAUGAUUAAUAGGGACAGUUGGGGGCAUUUGUAUUUAACAGUCAGAGGUGAAAUUCUUAGAUUUGUUAAAGACAAACUAAUGCGAAAGCAUUUGCCAAGGAUGUUUUCAUUAAUCAAGAACGAAAGUUAGGGGAUCGAAGACGAUCAGAUACCGUCGUAGUCUUAACCAUAAACUAUGCC
Molecule: ribosomal RNA, 424 nt
Filed under: Cryptosporidium hominis
Lineage: Eukaryota; Apicomplexa; Conoidasida; Eucoccidiorida; Cryptosporidiidae
Description: partial small subunit ribosomal RNA
Rfam family: Eukaryotic small subunit ribosomal RNA
Source: RNAcentral